AAAGUGCGACAAGUGUCAUGACUUGCAGAUACCCGAGAGCUGACAAAUUUCUGAAUGCAAAUUGCAGCCAAGUUAACCUGGCUAUGUAUUGCAGAGAGUACUUCGCUUAUGCGCGCCAUCCAGGGGUGGUUCCAUUCCUCCCUUGGGCUAUGUGCAGGCAUUCGUGCUUGCUGAGCAUUGUGCCACUCCAACUUGUUUGGAUAAAGGCCAACUCAAAUUAAAGAUAGAAAACCUUGAGUUUUCCCGGACAACAGUUUGAGACGAGACGUUGUUGUGUUCUUCACAAUGACUCUCUUUCUCUCACCAUUCACCUCUGCAAUGCAGGAGAACCCGCUGAACUUAA
This 343-nucleotide unclassified non-coding RNA is filed under the name uncultured fungus. RNAcentral's name for it is "sequence contains ITS1". The stretch from base 1 to 101 matches the Rfam family "5.8S ribosomal RNA", at positions 50 to 154 of the family's 154-position model. The record is from RNAcentral. Lineage: Eukaryota; Fungi.